GACGAACGCUGGCGGCGUGCUUAACACAUGCAAGUCGAACGGAGCGAAUGAAAGCUUGCUUUUAUGAGCUUAGUGGCAAACGGGUGAGUAACACGUAGACAACCUGCCGACAGGAUGGGGACAACAUUCCGAAAGGAAUGCUAAUACCGAAUGAAGCGGAGGAGAGGCAUCUCUCUUCCGUGAAAGAUGGCCUCUAUUUAUAAGCUAUCACCUGUCGAUGGGUCUGCGUCUGAUUAGCUAGUUGGUGAGGUAACGGCUCACCAAGGCGACGAUCAGUAGCCGGUCUGAGAGGAUGAACGGCCACAUUGGGACUGAGACACGGCCCAGACUCCUACGGGAGGCAGCAGUGGGGAAUCUUCCGCAAUGGGCGCAAGCCUGACGGAGCAACGCCGCGUGAGUGAAGAAGGUCUUCGGAUCGUAAAGCUCUGUUGAUGGGGACGAACGUGCGAAG
Molecule: ribosomal RNA, 451 nt
Filed under: Centipeda dianae
Lineage: Bacteria; Bacillati; Bacillota; Negativicutes; Selenomonadales; Selenomonadaceae
Description: bacterial SSU rRNA
Rfam family: Bacterial small subunit ribosomal RNA
Source: RNAcentral